CCUUUGGCAGCAUCUACUAAUUCAGAACUUAAUUUGAAAGCCAUAUUUCGACCCGGACGCUUUUGGGAUGCUUCUAAUAACCAAUGAAUGGCAAGUGCUCUUCCUUGUUUAGAUCCUAUUUCAAUCGGAACUUUCCGCGUCGAUCCUUUUUUAUUACGUCUUGUUUUACUCCUAUAUUGGGAGUUACUCUACGUAUUGCUUGACGUAAAACCAAUAGUGGAUUUGGCCAGAUGA
RNAcentral lists this ribosomal RNA (234 nucleotides) under Triticum aestivum (bread wheat). RNAcentral describes it as "partial small subunit ribosomal RNA". Lineage: Eukaryota; Viridiplantae; Streptophyta; Magnoliopsida; Poales; Poaceae. The record is from RNAcentral.